CCUACGGGCGGCAGCAGUGAGGAAUAUUGGUCAAUGGACGAGAGUCUGAACCAGCCAAGUCGCGUGAAGGAUGACUGCCCUAUGGGUUGUAAACUUCUUUUAUAUGGGAAUAAAAUGUUCCACGUUUGGGAUUUUGUAUGUACCAUAUGAAUAAGCAUCGGCUAAUUCCGUGCCAGGAGCCGCGGUAAUACGGAGGAUCCGAGCGUUAUCCGGAUUUAUUGGGUUUAAAGGGGGGGGAGGUGGGUUGUUAAGUCAGUGGUGAAAGUUUGCGGGUCAACCGUAAAAUUGCAGUUGAAACUGGCAGUCUUGAGUGCGGUAGAGGUGGGCGGAAUGCGUGGUGUAGCGGUGAAAUGCAUAGAUAUCACGAAGAACUCCGAUUGCGAAGGCAGCUCACUGGACUACAACUGACACUGAGGCUCGAAAGUGUGGGUAUCAAACAGGAUUAGAUACCCGUGUAGUC
RNAcentral lists this ribosomal RNA (460 nucleotides) under uncultured bacterium. RNAcentral's name for it is "partial 16S ribosomal RNA". It matches the Rfam family "Bacterial small subunit ribosomal RNA", at positions 338 to 795 of the family's 1533-position model. The record is from RNAcentral.